UUAAGUUCAGCGGGUAUCCCUACCUGAUCCGAGGUCAAAGACGGUAAAUGUGCUUCGUGGAUGCGGAUCUCCACCCCUACGAGCGCAAUGUGCUGCGCGAGAGGAGGCAAAGACCGCUGCCAAUGAAUUUGGGGCGAGUCCACGCGCAAGAGGCGGGACAGACGCCCAACACCAAGCAGAGCUUGAGGGUGUAGAUGACG
Molecule: unclassified non-coding RNA, 200 nt
Filed under: Didymella sp.
Lineage: Eukaryota; Fungi; Ascomycota; Dothideomycetes; Pleosporales; Didymellaceae
Description: partial internal transcribed spacer 2
Source: RNAcentral